RNAcentral lists this long non-coding RNA (314 nucleotides) under Monodelphis domestica (gray short-tailed opossum). RNAcentral's name for it is "lncRNA (ENSMODG00000051542.1)". The record is from RNAcentral. Lineage: Eukaryota; Metazoa; Chordata; Mammalia; Didelphimorphia; Didelphidae.
GACAUCCAAGAGCCAACUGGCCAAAGAUGGCAUAGAAGAGCAUACGUACCCAGUUCAGUUCAGGGGACACAUUUUGUACUUCUCUUCUUGCUAUAUCUUCUCAAAUCAAUACUGCUAUUGGAUCCAAGCCAGAAGAGCCUUAAGGGCUUUGUCCCCGGAGCGUCUGAGGUCACCACUGAACCCAGGACCUGCUCUCUAGGCCCCCAGCUGCCCCGUGACAAAGAGGUCCAUUUCUCGUUUAUUUUACCCAUUCCGUUGAAUGGCAACUUUCCACCUAAGUGACAGGCUCCAGCAUGUGUGAGAACGAUCCAAAA